AUUCAGUGGGAUCAAUUCCAUCUUGACUCACACACCGACUUGAUAAGUACUUUACUGCACUCAGUAGCCUUUCAUCAUUGAAUUAGAAACUCAGAUGAUCCGAUACUAAAGUACAGUCAAUUGCUUAUAAGUCACUAUGGUGAUCUCAAGACUUAGGAACACUUAUAUCCAUACCCUUUACGAGCUACUUUUGACAGCAGAGUGCUUGGCAAAUGGUCACAUUCGAUGCGAAUGUACUCCUACAUUCUAUCUGUAUGCCAUACUAGUAUCUCUACAUUCGGUUAAGAGGAUAACCAACUCAUAUGGCACACAAUGACCUAUACUC
This 325-nucleotide long non-coding RNA is filed under the name Elaeis guineensis (African oil palm). RNAcentral's name for it is "long non-coding RNA (EGUI_LNC041082)". The record is from RNAcentral. Lineage: Eukaryota; Viridiplantae; Streptophyta; Magnoliopsida; Arecales; Arecaceae.